RNAcentral lists this ribosomal RNA (364 nucleotides) under Streptomyces tanashiensis. RNAcentral's name for it is "bacterial SSU rRNA". It matches the Rfam family "Bacterial small subunit ribosomal RNA", at positions 100 to 498 of the family's 1533-position model. The record is from RNAcentral. Lineage: Bacteria; Bacillati; Actinomycetota; Actinomycetes; Kitasatosporales; Streptomycetaceae.
GAACGGGUGAGUAACGUGGGCAAUCUGCCCUUCACUCUGGGACAACCCUGGAAACGGGUAAUACCGGAUACCACUUCGUCCCGGGGGGGGUUGAAAGUCCGGCGGUGAAGGAUGAGCCCGCGGCCUAUCAGCUUGUUGGUGGGGUAAUGGCCUACCAGGCGACGACGGGUAGCCGGCCUGAGAGGGCGACCGGCCACACUGGGACUGAGACACGGCCCAGACUCCUACGGGAGGCAGCAGUGGGGAAUAUUGCACAAUGGGCGAAAGCCUGAUGCAGCGACGCCGCGUGAGGGAUGACGGCCUUCGGGUUGUAAACCUCUUUCAGCAGGGAAGAAGGACGGUACCUGCAGAAGAAGCGCCGGCU